This 418-nucleotide ribosomal RNA is filed under the name uncultured bacterium. Its description in RNAcentral is "bacterial SSU rRNA". It matches the Rfam family "Bacterial small subunit ribosomal RNA", at positions 340 to 749 of the family's 1533-position model. The record is from RNAcentral.
UACGGGAAGGCAGCAGUGGGGAAUAUUGCACAAUGGGCGAAAGCCUGAUGCAGCUAUGCCGCGUGUAUGAAGAAGGCCUUAGGGUUGUAAAGUACUUUCAUCGGGGAGGAAAAACAAAACUAAUAAUUUUAUUUCUUGACGUUACCCGAAAAAGAAGCACCGGCUAACUCCGUGCCAGCAGCCGCGGUAAUACGGAGGGUGCUAGCGUUAAUCAGAAUUACUGGGCGUAAAGAGCACGUAGGUGGUUUUUUUAAGUCAGAUGUGAAAUCCCUGGGCUUAACCUAGGAACUGCAUUUUGAAACUGAAAUACUAGAGUAUCGUAGAGGGAGGUAGAAUUCUAGGUGUAGCGGUGAAAUGCGUAGAUAUCUGGAGGAAUACCUGUGGCGAAAGCGGCCUCCUAAACGAAUACUGACACUGA